CCUACGGGUGGCAGCAGUGAGGAAUAUUGGUCAAUGGACGAGAGUCUGAACCAGCCAAGUAGCGUGAAGGAUGACUGCCCUAUGGGUUGUAAACUUCUUUUAUAAAGGAAUAAAACGAGGCACGUGUGCCUUUUUGCAUGUACUUUAUGAAUAAGGAUCGGCUAACUCCGUGCCAGCAGCCGCGGUAAUACGGAGGAUCCGAGCGUUAUCCGGAUUUAUUGGGUUUAAAGGGAGCGUAGAUGGGUUGUUAAGUCAGUUGUGAAAGUUUGCGGCUCAACCGUAAAAUUGCAAUUGAUACUGGCAGUCGUGAGUACAGUUGAGGUAGGCGGAAUUCGUGGUGUAGCGGUGAAAUGCUUAGAUAUCACGAAGAACUCCGAUUGCGAAGGCAGCUUACUAAACUGCCACUGACAUUGAUGCUCGAAAGUGUGGGUAUCAAACAGGAUUAGAGACCCGGGUAGUC
RNAcentral lists this ribosomal RNA (460 nucleotides) under uncultured bacterium. RNAcentral's name for it is "partial 16S ribosomal RNA". It matches the Rfam family "Bacterial small subunit ribosomal RNA", at positions 338 to 795 of the family's 1533-position model. The record is from RNAcentral.